UACCUACCCAGGCGUACCGGUACACGGGCCGAAGUACCGGUACAAAGGCUAACCCGAGAGCAACCCGCGCGCAGCCUGAUGAAGUGUACCGGUACACCUUGAUGGCUGUACCGGUACAGCAAGCAGAAAAACUGCUAUUUUGCAGAUUUUCUCGCCAAAUGCUACACUCGCGUCGCAGAGAGUCCGUUUUGCGUCUAUUUCACGCCAAAGCGACUCGGACUUGUCCCGACACUCUCAUGAGUUGUCGACAAGCCUCCACAGCCGAACACCAGGGAUCUCACAAUUAUAUUCAUUUUUAAUAAUUUAUACUUAAAAUACUCUUACAAAUAACAAAAAUAUAUUAAGAUUUUAUUUUUUUUUCUUAUCGAAGAAGUAAGGACGAUAUGGUCAUUUUGCCCUCUUUAUUAAUGUCGUACAUCUCUGAAAAUAUUUCUGAAAUUUUAAGAAGGCAAAAUGUAAGUUUUUGAAAGUCAGGAGGAAUAGUAAAAAAGCGAAUAAUUUUUUAAAAAAAUUCUACAAUUUAGCCUUAUUUUCUAAUUUUUUUAAUAA
Molecule: long non-coding RNA, 549 nt
Filed under: Ananas comosus (pineapple)
Lineage: Eukaryota; Viridiplantae; Streptophyta; Magnoliopsida; Poales; Bromeliaceae
Description: long non-coding RNA (ACOM_LNC016839)
Source: RNAcentral